RNAcentral lists this ribosomal RNA (507 nucleotides) under Bacillus sp. (in: firmicutes). RNAcentral's name for it is "bacterial SSU rRNA". It matches the Rfam family "Bacterial small subunit ribosomal RNA", at positions 354 to 850 of the family's 1533-position model. Lineage: Bacteria; Bacillati; Bacillota; Bacilli; Caryophanales; Bacillaceae. The record is from RNAcentral.
GUAGGGAAUCUUCCGCAAUGGACGAAAGUCUGACGGAGCACGCCGCGUGAGUGAUGAAGGCUUUCGGGUCGUGAAAACUCUGUGUGUUAGGGAAGAACAAGUGCUAGUUGAAUAAGCUGGCACCUUGACGGUACCUAACCAGAAAGCCACGGCUAACUACGUGCCAGCAGCCGCGGUAAUACGUAGGUGGCAAGCGUUAUCCGGAAUUAUUGGGCGUAAAGCGCGCGCAGGUGGUUUCUUAAGUCUGAUGUGAAAGCCCACGGCUCAACCGUGGAGGGUCAUUGGAAACUGGGAGACUUGAGUGCAGAAGAGGAAAGUGGAAUUCCAUGUGUAGCGGUGAAAUGCGUAGAGAUAUGGAGGAACACCAGUGGCGAAGGCGACUUUCUGGUCUGUAACUGACACUGAGGCGCGAAAGCGUGGGGAGCAAACAGGAUUAGAUACCCUGGUAGUCCACGCCGUAAACGAUGAGUGCUAAGUGUUAGAGGGUUUCCGCCCUUUAGUGCUGAA